This 468-nucleotide ribosomal RNA is filed under the name uncultured bacterium. Its description in RNAcentral is "partial 16S ribosomal RNA". It matches the Rfam family "Bacterial small subunit ribosomal RNA", at positions 28 to 507 of the family's 1533-position model. The record is from RNAcentral.
GACGAACGCUGGCGGCGUGCUUAACACAUGCAAGUCGAACGGAAAGGCCCUGCUUUUGUGGGGUGCUCGAGUGGCGAACGGGUGAGUAACACGUGAGUAACCUGCCCUUGACUUUGGGAUAACUUCAGGAAACUGGGGCUAAUACCGGAUAGGAGCUCCUGCUGCAUGGUGGGGGUUGGAAAGUUUCGGCGGUUGGGGAUGGACUCGCGGCUUAUCAGCUUGUUGGUGGGGUAGUGGCUUACCAAGGCUUUGACGGGUAGCCGGCCUGAGAGGGUGACCGGCCACAUAGGGACUGAGAAACGGCCCAGAGUCCUACGGGAGGCAGCAGUGGGGGAUAUUGCACAAUGGGCGGAAGCCGGGUGCAGCAACGCCGCGUGCGGGAUGACGGCCUUCGGGUUGUAAACCGCUUUCGCCUGUGACGAAGCGUGAGUGACGGUAAUGGGUAAAGAAGCACCGGCUAACUACGUG